UACGUAGGGUGCAAGCGUUGUCCGGAAUUAUUGGGCGUAAAGAGCUCGUAGGCGGUCUGUCGCGUCUGCUGUGAAAACUCAGGGCUUAACCCUGAGCUUGCAGUGGGUACGGGCAGACUAGAGUGCGGUAGGGGAGACUGGAAUUCCUGGUGUAGCGGUGAAAUGCGCAGAUAGUCAAGGAGGAACACCGGUGGCGGAAGGCGGGUCUCUGGGCCGUAA
RNAcentral lists this ribosomal RNA (219 nucleotides) under uncultured bacterium. Its description in RNAcentral is "partial 16S ribosomal RNA". It matches the Rfam family "Bacterial small subunit ribosomal RNA", at positions 524 to 739 of the family's 1533-position model. The record is from RNAcentral.